GCCGGACCAUAUUGGAACAUCUCAAAAACUUAAAGAACUAGUUUGAUACUUGUUAAACUUGAGAGAAUGUAAGUAAAAUUGUAAUGAAGUUGAGGAGGUGUUUCUAUAAUUUAUCCAAAAAAUUAAUAAUUAGAUUAAACAUAGAUUCAUAUAAAAAUUACUUACCUUUUAAUCAUGCUCCGAGAGACAAUCCUGAAAAAAAAAAAUAAGUAUCUUUUACAAUCUCUUUCUUACUUUUGGAAAAAUUCACAUCUCCAAUUCUUUUUUCUGAUCUCAAGAUCCCGAGAAACGAACAAAACUAAUAGAUCCACCCAC
Molecule: long non-coding RNA, 315 nt
Filed under: Elaeis guineensis (African oil palm)
Lineage: Eukaryota; Viridiplantae; Streptophyta; Magnoliopsida; Arecales; Arecaceae
Description: long non-coding RNA (EGUI_LNC012999)
Source: RNAcentral